GUGGAUUCCUGUAACUGUCCAUGAAAACAGAAGGCAUAGCAGGUUUUUAGUCAGGAUUAAUCCUGACUCCAACAAGUGCACUGCCAAGGAGCAGAUGAGCAAGACGACUGAGAGAGUGGUGAAGCAGAAGACGUCAUACAUGAACCCCCAUGUAAUCUCCUUCAUCAGGGACCUCACUGAAUUCUAUUUGCUAACUGACUAGAUGCAGGACAACUGGGAUUCUGGGUCUCCAAGGUCAGGGGACCAUAGACCUUUAUAUCAAGUGGCAGGGGAAUGAUAUUUGUAAGAAGUUUCUUUUCAUUUAUGUUUUAAAUGUUCAUGCACAUGUUCAUUAUUGUUCAAUGUUUUAUUUUAUUUCAAUAUUGCCAUUGUGUUAAUCAUUGCUCUUUAAAACGUGCAAAUAAGGUUGGUUAUUUAUUAUUUUGACCGUAUUUUAUCAAUUCACAUUAUUGUUCCAUCAUGUUAAUUUUGGAUAGUCUAAUGGCGUGUCGUCCAUUAUCCCUAACUUAUGUUGUACCUGUUUUGUCAUGUUCCUGUUCACCAAAUGUCUUAAAUAAAUAACUGUUAACAAUUUCUUGU
This is a long non-coding RNA of Alosa alosa (allis shad), 579 nucleotides long. RefSeq lists it as uncharacterized. The record is from RefSeq and is a predicted model, not a curated record. The transcript is spliced from 3 exons. NCBI's taxonomy places the organism in Eukaryota, Metazoa, Chordata, Actinopteri, Clupeiformes, Clupeidae.